Molecule: ribosomal RNA, 662 nt
Filed under: Pantoea dispersa
Lineage: Bacteria; Pseudomonadati; Pseudomonadota; Gammaproteobacteria; Enterobacterales; Erwiniaceae
Description: bacterial SSU rRNA
Rfam family: Bacterial small subunit ribosomal RNA
Source: RNAcentral
GGCGUUAAAGGGGCACGUUAGGCGGAUGUUAAGUCAGGGUGAAAUCCCCGGGCUCCAUUUGGGAACUGCCUUUGAUACUGGCAAGCUUGAGUCUCGUAUAGGGGGGUGGAAUUCCAAGUGUAGCGGUGAAAUGCGUAGAUAUCUGGAGGAAUACCGGUGGCGAAGGCGGCCCCCUGGACGAAUACUGACGCUCAGGUGCGAAAGCGUGGGGAGCAAACAGGAUUAGAUACCCUGGUAGUCCACGCCGUAAACGAUGUCGACUUGGAGGUUGUGCCCUUGAGGCGUGGCUUCCGGAGCUAACGCUUUAAGUCUACCGCCGGGGGAGUACGGCCCCAAGGUUAAAAUUAAAAUGAGUUGACGGGGGCCCCCACAAGCGGUGAAGCUGGUGGUUUAAUUCGAUGCACCGCGAAAAACCUUCCCUGGCCUUAACAUCCAGAGAACUUAGCAGAAAUGCUUUGGUGCCUUCGGGGACUCUGCGACAAGUGCUGCUUGGCUGUCGUCAGCUCGUGUUGUGAUAUGUUGGGUUGAGUCCUGCAACAAGCGCCAACCCUUAUCCUUUGUUGCCAGCGGCUCGGCCGUGAACUCAAAGGAGACUGUCGGUGAUAAACGGGGAGGAGGGAGGGGAUGACGUCACACAUCAUGGCCGUCACGGCCGGUCUGCU